UAAAAUUUAGUUAAUGUUUUUUUUUUAGUAUUGCAUACUAGUAGAUGUAAUUAUUAUAGAUUAUAAAAAAUAGAAUAAAAUUAUUAAAUUUAGUUUUUUUUUUUUAUUACAAAAUUUAUUAUAACUAAUUUUGAUAUUGAUAAAAUGUAAUUUUUUUUUCUGUUUUUUGUUUUUGAUAGUUAAGUUAUUUUUUUUUAUUGUUUGAUUUAAAAAUUUUUUGUUUUUGUGUUUUAUUGUUGUGUUUAAACAUAAAUUUUUUGGGUUUUAAUUUUUUUAUUUUUAUAGUUAAUUUUUUAAUUAUUUUAUGAUUUUUAUUUUAGUAAGAAUUUUAUUUUUAAUUUUGUUAGGUUUAUAAUUUUUAUAUAGGAAUUAGGUUUUUUGCUAAAUGUUUAUUAAAAACUUAGGUUUUUUAUUAAAAUUGUCUUCUGCCCUAUGACUUUGUUUAAUGGCAGCCAUAGCGUGACGGCAUAAAAGUAGCGAAAGUGAUUUGUUUUUUUAUUGAUUUCGAGUAUGAAUGAAGUUUUUAGCAGAUUUUGUAUUUAUAUUUUUUUUGAAUUAUUUUUUUGGUUAAAAAUUAUUAUUUAAAUUACAACAAAGAUAAGUCUUCGGAAACUUUUUUUAGAAAUUUGUUAAAUUUUUUUUAUUUCUAUAUUUUUUUGGGGAUGAAUUUUAAGAAAUUUUUAUACUAUUAUUAUAUUUAGAAGUUACUUCGGAGUUAACAGGGCUAUGGAUGUUACUAACAGUUCUUAUGUUGUGCACCAUGCUACAUCGAUGUUGUAUAUUUUUUUUAAUUGGUAGGAGAAAUUAGUUGUUUUGAGACUGUUCUUCUUAUAUAAAAAUUAAACUUGAUAUUAGUUUAGUUCGUCGUGAGACAGAGCGGUUUAUCUUGUGUAAUUUUAUUUUUUAGUGGGGUUAGUACGAAAGGAAAAUUACAAAAGUUAAUAUUUAUGAUUUUUGUUUUUUGAUAAGUUUAGUGCUUUUGUUUAA
RNAcentral lists this ribosomal RNA (987 nucleotides) under Spirocerca lupi. Its description in RNAcentral is "large subunit ribosomal RNA". The record is from RNAcentral. Lineage: Eukaryota; Metazoa; Nematoda; Chromadorea; Rhabditida; Thelaziidae.